This 242-nucleotide long non-coding RNA is filed under the name Mytilus galloprovincialis (Mediterranean mussel). The record is from RNAcentral. Lineage: Eukaryota; Metazoa; Mollusca; Bivalvia; Mytilida; Mytilidae.
GCAACUUCUUUGAAGCCAUAGAACAGAUUUUGCAAAAUUUGAUGAUUUGUUACAAAAAUUAUGUAUAUUGAAUUAGCUUUCUGUGACUUAUUGCAUAAGUAGUUUUUUUUGUCCAAAUGAAACAAUUGAAUAGUGGAAAAGUUGCAUUUCUACACAAGAAAGCAUUCUGAAGACAACUUUUUCCCCAGUAAAGCUAGUAAUUACAAUGUAUAGAAAUAGAUAUAAAUUCAUAAAUUUGGGAC